UUUCGAUGUGAGUGCCGUCGGCCGGUAGCUGACCGUUACACUCCAGGAAUCAAGUCUUUCCGGAUGCCUCCGGACCCCCGGAGGCGUUCAGUCAGCAGCCGCUGCAACCCCAGGGAG
RNAcentral lists this small RNA (117 nucleotides) under Saccharothrix sp. ST-888. RNAcentral describes it as "Streptomyces-metK RNA". It matches the Rfam family "Streptomyces-metK RNA". Lineage: Bacteria; Bacillati; Actinomycetota; Actinomycetes; Pseudonocardiales; Pseudonocardiaceae. The record is from Rfam by way of RNAcentral.